GCUUGCUCCACCGGAAAAAGAAGAGUGGCGAACGGGUGAGUAACACGUGGGUAACCUGCCCAUCAKAAGGGGAUAACACUUGGAAACAGGUGCUAAUACCGUAUAACAAUCGAAACCGCAUGGUUUUGAUUUGAAAGGCGCUUUCGGGUGUCGCUGAUGGAUGGACCCGCGGUGCAUUAGCUAGUUGGUGAGGUAACGGCUCACCAAGGCCACGAUGCAUAGCCGACCUGAGAGGGUGAUCGGCCACAUUGGGACUGAGACACGGCCCAAACUCCUACGGGAGGCAGCAGUAGGGAAUCUUCGGCAAUGGACGAAAGUCUGACCGAGCAACGCCGCGUGAGUGAAGAAGGUUUUCGGAUCGUAAAACUCUGUUGUUAGAGAAGAACAAGGAUGAGAGUAACUGUUCAUCCCUUGACGGUAUCUAACCAGAAAGCCACGGCUAACUACGUGCCAGCAGCCGCGGUAAUACGUAGGUGGCAAGCGUUGUCCGGAUUUAUUGGGCGUAAAGCGAGCGCAGGCGGUUUCUUAAGUCUGAUGUGAAAGCCCCCGGCUCAACCGGGGAGGGUCAUUGGAAACUGGGAGACUUGAGUGCA
This 593-nucleotide ribosomal RNA is filed under the name Enterococcus sp. FBPers-11_16-21. RNAcentral's name for it is "bacterial SSU rRNA". It matches the Rfam family "Bacterial small subunit ribosomal RNA", at positions 71 to 650 of the family's 1533-position model. Lineage: Bacteria; Bacillati; Bacillota; Bacilli; Lactobacillales; Enterococcaceae. The record is from RNAcentral.